RNAcentral lists this ribosomal RNA (301 nucleotides) under uncultured bacterium. RNAcentral describes it as "partial 16S ribosomal RNA". It matches the Rfam family "Bacterial small subunit ribosomal RNA", at positions 509 to 807 of the family's 1533-position model. The record is from RNAcentral.
CAGCCGCCGCGGUAAUGCGUAGGUGGCAAGCGUUGUCCGGAAUUAUUGGGCGUAAAGGGCUCGCAGGCGGUUUCUUUAGUCUGAUGUGAAAGCCCCCGGCUCAACCGGGGAGGGUCAUUGGAAACUGGGAAACUUGAGUGCAGAAGAGGAGAGUGGAAUUCCACGUGUAGCGGUGAAAUGCGUAGAGAUGUGGAGGAACACCAGUGGCGAAGGCGACUCUCUGGUCUGUAACUGACGCUGAGGAGCGAAAGCGUGGGGAGCGAACAGGAUUAGAUACCCCAGUAGUCCCUGUCUCUUAUAC